CGGGAGACACACGGCGGGUGCUAACGUCCGUCGUGAAGAGGGAAACAACCCAGACCGCCAGCUAAGGUCCCAAAGUCAUGGUUAAGUGGGAAACGAUGUGGGAAGGCCCAGACAGCCAGGAUGUUGGCUUAGAAGCAGCCAUCAUUUAAAGAAAGCGUAAUAGCUCACUGGUCGAGUCGGCCUGCGCGGAAGAUGUAACGGGGCUAAACCAUGCACCGAAGCUGCGGCAGCGACGCUUAUGCGUUGUUGGGUAGGGGAGCGUUCUGUAAGCCUGUGAAGGUGUACUGUGAGGCAUGCUGGAGGUAUCAGAAGUGCGAAUGCUGACAUAAGUAACGAUAAAGCGGGUGAAAAGCCCGCUCGCCGGAAGACCAAGGGUUCCUGUCCAACGUUAAUCGGGGCAGGGUGAGUCGACCCCUAAGGCGAGGCCGAAAGGCGUAGUCGAUGGGAAACAGGUUAAUAUUCCUGUACUUGGUGUUACUGCGAAGGGGGGACGGAGAAGGCUAUGUUGGCCGGGCGACGGUUGUCCCGGUUUAAGCGUGUAGGCUGGUUUUCCAGGCAAAUCCGGAAAAUCAAGGCUGAGGCGUGAUGACGAGGCACUACGGUGCUGAAGCAACAAAUGCCCUGCUUCCAGG
Molecule: ribosomal RNA, 632 nt
Filed under: Enterococcus faecalis
Lineage: Bacteria; Bacillati; Bacillota; Bacilli; Lactobacillales; Enterococcaceae
Description: partial 23S ribosomal RNA
Rfam family: Bacterial large subunit ribosomal RNA
Source: RNAcentral